AUUGACAAUAUCAUACGAUUUGAAAUAAGAUUGAGGUUUCUUCUUAGCAAGUUCGAAAAAAUGACGAAGCUCUUAAUUAAUCAGAAUUAAUUUGUCGGAAUUUUGCAAUCAUUGUUGUGAUUAUAAUCGUGAAAAUUAUAUUUUUUAGUUUCAGAAGCGACAGAGUUUGUAAUCGCAGAUACUAUUUCGAGCAAUUUUGGUGCAGUUACACCGCGUCGGAAGACCCGGCUCGGGCCGAACGAGAUCGGCUCGAAGAAUACCUCGCCGAGAGGCAGCGUCGGGAGACUCCAUUGGAAACGUGAACGUUAAUCUCGUCGCGAAGUGAAGUGCAACGCGGGACCAAGGACGAAUGUUGCUGGGACGACACAGUUCGAUCGACGCGACUGCGAUCAACCCCCAGGUGGGCGAUGGAUUUCGACGCGCAGUGAGAUUCAAUAAAGCAGACGCAGUCACGUGACUCUAGGGGAUGCGAUGUCUGGAGGAUGCUGCGCCGGAGGAUCUGGCUCGGGCCUGGCAGAGUUGGCGCGAAG
Long non-coding RNA from Odontomachus brunneus, 530 nucleotides. RefSeq lists it as uncharacterized. The record is from RefSeq and is a predicted model, not a curated record. NCBI's taxonomy places the organism in Eukaryota, Metazoa, Arthropoda, Insecta, Hymenoptera, Formicidae. The transcript has 3 exons.